CCUACGGGUGGCAGCAGUAGGGAAUUUUGCGCAAUGGGCGAAAGCCUGACGCAGCAACGCCGCGUGAUCGAGACGCCCUUCGGGGUGUAAAGAUCUGUCAGUGGGGACGAAACUUGACGGUACCCACAGCGGAAGCACCGGCUAUCUCCGUGCCAGCAGCCGCGGUAAUAUGGAGGAUGCGAGCGUUAUCCGGAUUUUUUGGGUUUAAAGGGUGCGUAGGCGGAUUUUUAAGUCAGCGGUAAAAUGUCCGGGGUCAACCCGGGCCGGCCGUUGAGACUGGGGAUCUUGAGUGGGCGUGAAGUAUGCGGAAUGCGUGGUGUAGCGGUGAAAUGCAUAGAUAUCACGCAGAACUCCGAUUGCGAAGGCAGCAUACCGGCGCCCGACUGACGCUGAGGCACGAAAGCGUGGGGAUCGAACAGGAUUAGAUACCCGAGUAGUC
Molecule: ribosomal RNA, 439 nt
Filed under: uncultured bacterium
Lineage: Bacteria
Description: partial 16S ribosomal RNA
Rfam family: Bacterial small subunit ribosomal RNA
Source: RNAcentral